Triplophysa rosa is the source of this 686-nucleotide long non-coding RNA. RefSeq lists it as uncharacterized. The record is from RefSeq and is a predicted model, not a curated record. The transcript has 3 exons. Lineage: Eukaryota; Metazoa; Chordata; Actinopteri; Cypriniformes; Nemacheilidae.
AGUCACACCAGAGAUGAAUAACAGGUGAAUGUCAUAAAAACAGGAUGUUGUACAUUAUUGUGUUCACUAGUCUACAUGCUCAAUGUCUAAUGCUCGGGGAAAAGUCAAACUAAAUGACGUAAGUAGCAGUGAACGUAAAAAAAUGAAUAGACAAGAUGAGCAUGGUGGGAAUAAUAAUUGGAACUGGAACUGGAACUGGAACUGGAGUUGGAACUGGUCUCAGCUAUUUUUACUGGCUGGCUCUGGACUUGUUUAUAAAAAGUACAUAUUACAAUAAAUAAUGUUCUAAAAGCAAACAUCAGAGGAUGAAAUGAAGAUUCGUCAUCUGAAAGCAAAUUAUGCAAGUCAUAAGAAAGAGUUAUCAACUUUAAACAUGGAGAUCAUUCAUUUGAGGAGAAUCGCUGUGACCAGAGGGAGAUCAAAUCCAUGGGUGUAAUUCAUAAGGUCUGCAGGUUGUUGUACUACACUAAAAUCAAACAAGUGUUGUGUGAAAUUGAGUAAAAUAAAACACGUAAACUUGUAUUCAGUUAAUCAAAGGGUUGAAGGUCUUAUAAAAUAAUAAAUGUAUUAUUAUUUAUUUUUAUUUUAUUUUAUUAGUUUCUUUUGUUUGUUUUCUCUUAUUUGUUUGUAUAUGUUUAUGGUAAAAGAGACAAUUAUGUAAGAUUGUAACUCUUCUUAAUUUGUGU